RNAcentral lists this ribosomal RNA (439 nucleotides) under uncultured bacterium. RNAcentral's name for it is "partial 16S ribosomal RNA". It matches the Rfam family "Bacterial small subunit ribosomal RNA", at positions 338 to 795 of the family's 1533-position model. The record is from RNAcentral.
CCUACGGGUGGCAGCAGUGGGGAAUAUUGCACAAUGGGGGAAACCCUGAUGCAGCGACGCCGCGUGAGCGAAGAAGUAUUUCGGUAUGUAAAGCUCUAUCAGCAGGGAAGAAAAUGACGGUACCUGAAGAAAAAGCAUCGGCUAACUCCGUGCCAGCAGCCGCGGUAAUACGGAGGAUGCGAGCGUUAUCCGGAUGUAUUGGGUUUAAAGGGUGCGCAGGCGGCCUGUUAAGUCAGCGGUAAAAGCCCGGGGCUCAACCCCGGCGAGUCGUUGAAACUGGCGGGCUGGAGUUGGAGAGAAGUACGCGGAAUGCGCGGUGUAGCGGUGAAAUGCUUAGAUAUCGCGCAGAACCCCGAUUGCGAAGGCGACCUACUGGAACAUUACUGACGCUCAUGCACGAAAGCGUGGGGAGCAAACAGGAUUAGAUACCCCAGUAGUC